ACGAACGCUGGCGGCGUGCCUAAUACAUGCAAGUCGAGCGGACGGAUGGGAGCUUGCUCCCAGACCGUCAGCGGCGGACGGGUGAGUAACACGUGGGCAACCUGCCUGUAAGACUGGGAUAACUCCGGGAAACCGGGGCUAAUACCGGAUAACUCUUUCCCUCACAUGAGGGAAAGCUGAAAGAUGGCAUCUCGCUAUCACUUACAGAUGGGCCCGCGGCGCAUUAGCUAGUUGGUGAGGUAACGGCUCACCAAGGCGACGAUGCGUAGCCGACCUGAGAGGGUGAUCGGCCACACUGGGACUGAGACACGGCCCAGACUCCUACGGGAGGCAGCAGUAGGGAAUCUUCCGCAAUGGACGAAAGUCUGACGGAGCAACGCCGCGUGAGUGAUGAAGGUUUUCGGAUCGUAAAACUCUGUUGUCAGGGAAGAACAAGUACCGGAGUAACUGCCGGUACCUUGACGGUACCUGACCAGAAAGCCACGGCUAACUACGU
RNAcentral lists this ribosomal RNA (496 nucleotides) under uncultured bacterium. Its description in RNAcentral is "partial 16S ribosomal RNA". It matches the Rfam family "Bacterial small subunit ribosomal RNA", at positions 29 to 506 of the family's 1533-position model. The record is from RNAcentral.